GACGAACGCUGGCGGCGUGCUUAACACAUGCAAGUCGAACGGAAAGGCCCUGCUUUUGUGGGGUGCUCGAGUGGCGAACGGGUGAGUAACACGUGAGUAAUCUGCCCUUGACUUUGGGAUAACUUCCGGAAACUGGGGCUAAUACCGGAUAGGAGCUCCUGCUGCAUGGUGUGGGUUGGAAAGUUUCGGCGGUUGGGGAUGGACUCGCCGCUUAUCAGCUUGUUGGUGGGGUAGUGGCUUACCAAGGCGUUGACGGGUAGCCGGCCUGAGAGGGUGACCGGCCACAUUGGGACUGAGAUACGGCCCAGACUCCUACGGGAGGCAGCAGUGGGGAAUAUUGCACAAUGGGCGGAAGCCUGAUGCAGCGACGCCGCGUGCGGGAUGACGGCCUUCGGGUUGUAAACCGCUUUCGCCUGUGACGAAGCGUGAGUGACGGUAAUGGGUAAAGAAGCACCGGCUAACUACGUG
RNAcentral lists this ribosomal RNA (468 nucleotides) under uncultured bacterium. RNAcentral's name for it is "partial 16S ribosomal RNA". It matches the Rfam family "Bacterial small subunit ribosomal RNA", at positions 28 to 507 of the family's 1533-position model. The record is from RNAcentral.